This 764-nucleotide ribosomal RNA is filed under the name Synergus umbraculus. RNAcentral's name for it is "eukaryotic LSU rRNA". It matches the Rfam family "Eukaryotic large subunit ribosomal RNA", at positions 592 to 1138 of the family's 3401-position model. The record is from RNAcentral. Lineage: Eukaryota; Metazoa; Arthropoda; Insecta; Hymenoptera; Cynipidae.
AUUUAUGUAUACGGAGCAGACCCCCGGCUACCUGACCAACUGCCUGGCGGUACUCGUAUGGUAUCGGGCCGCACUUUGUGCGUCGGGCCCGUCGCAAGCUAGAUCAGUGUUUCUCGGAGGUGCGGACCUAGUGCCGUCCCCGGGCCUGGUCAGCUGUUGGUCGGCGGUGUUCUCGGACAGGCUCAUUAUUUAUGAUACCGGUCAGUGACGCUACUGCUUUGGGUACUUUCAGGACCCGUCUUGAAACACGGACCAAGGAGUCUAACAUGUGCGCGAGUCAUUGGGACCGCAAAACCUAAAGGCGUAAUGAAAGUGAAGGUCGAUCUUGCGUCGACUAAGGGAGGAUGGGUUGUAUUACGAUACAGCUCCGCACUCCCGGGGCGUCUCGUACUCAUUGCGAGUUGAGGCGCACCCAGAGCGUACACGUUGGGACCCGAAAGAUGGUGAACUAUGCCUGGUCAGGACGAAGUCAGGGGAAACCCUGAUGGAGGUCCGUAGCGAUUCUGACGUGCAAAUCGAUCGUCGGAACUGGGUAUAGGGGCGAAAGACUAAUCGAACCAUCUAGUAGCUGGUUCCCUCCGAAGUUUCCCUCAGGAUAGCUGGCACUCGUUUGAGCGAGUCUCAUCUGGUAAAGCGAAUGAUUAGAGGCCUUGGGGCCGAAACGACCUCAACCUAUUCUCAAACUUUAAAUGGGUGAGAUCUCUGGCUUGCUUGAACAGUGAAGCCACGAGAUUUCGGAUCAGAGUGCCAAGUGGGCCAAUUUU